GGGGGUGGGCUUUGAGGGUUUAUAGCCUCUCUCUACUCCCUGCUCCGUCUCCCUGUCUCCUGGAUGUGUGGAUGAAAUGUCAUGCCUCUGUCAUGCCUCCUUUGCCACAUGGACUUUAUCCCCUUGGGACUGAAGCCAAAAUUACACUUCCUUCCUUAACUUGCUGUUGGUCAUGAGACUUUUAUCACAACAACAGAAAGGUAACUGACACAAGUACCCGAUUAUUCACAUGGCUAGAGGGGGUCCCCUCUGCGGUCACCUUUUAUACUGACCCGUCUGUUCAAUAUCCCUAAGGCCCGCUGAGAAAAAGGGCCCAGAAGAAGUACCUGAAGGGAAGAAGGGCUUAUCUUGGUUUGCAGAUCUACGGGAUGAAGCCCAUAUGGUGAAGAAGGUUGGAGGAAGGUGCCGGAUUUCCAGGAAGUGAAGAUACAGAUGGUUGCCGACUGCCAAGCGGAUGCUAGGAACUGAGCGUAGGUCCUCCAGGAGAGCAGCCAGCGCUGGUCACUGCUGAGCCAUCUCUCCGAAAAGUUUUAUCACUGUACGACUGAAGAGGACUUCAUGGGACCUGCACGUCUCAUUUUAUCCUGUUAUUGUCACGUUAACAGCGAGCAGUGAACAAGGGUGUUCAACGCACGGAGAUCAAUAUCCAAGGGCUUUUGAAGAUUUUUCUGGAAUGUCCUGAAUUCCUGGAGGGACAUCCCUAGAAGUCUAU
RNAcentral lists this small RNA (712 nucleotides) under Rattus norvegicus (Norway rat). RNAcentral's name for it is "uncharacterized LOC102546865". Lineage: Eukaryota; Metazoa; Chordata; Mammalia; Rodentia; Muridae. The record is from RNAcentral.